GACGAACGCUGGCGGCGUGCUUAACACAUGCAAGUCGCGGGGGGUGAGCAAUCACUCACCGGCGAACGGGUGCGUAACACGUGAGCGACCUGCCCACUUGUGGGGUAUAGCCGGCCCAACGGCCGGGUAAUCCCGCACACGCUUCUCUGGCUGCAUGGCCGGGGGAGGAAAGCCGUAAGGCGCAAGUGGAGGGGCUCGCGGCCUAUCAGCUAGUUGGCGGGGUAACGCCCACCAAGGCGAUGACGGGUAGCUGGUCUGAGAGGAUGGCCAGCCACAUUGGGACUGAGAUACGGCCCAGACUCCUACGGGAGGCAGCAGUGGGGAAUCUUGCGCAAUGGUCGAAAGACUGACGCAGCGACGCCGCGUGCGGGAGGAAGCCCUUCGGGGUGUAAACCGCUGUUACUCGGGACGAACUUCUCGAUUCAUCGAGAUU
RNAcentral lists this ribosomal RNA (433 nucleotides) under uncultured bacterium. RNAcentral describes it as "bacterial SSU rRNA". It matches the Rfam family "Bacterial small subunit ribosomal RNA", at positions 28 to 470 of the family's 1533-position model. The record is from RNAcentral.